GGGAAUGUAGCUCAAUGGCAGAGCGCCUCGGGCAACCGGGGAGACCGAAGGUUCGAUUCCUUUCUUUUCCACCA
RNAcentral lists this transfer RNA (74 nucleotides) under Methylobacteriaceae bacterium. RNAcentral describes it as "tRNA-Cys". It matches the Rfam family "tRNA". From Rfam's summary of the family: Transfer RNA (tRNA) molecules are approximately 80 nucleotides in length. The record is from RNAcentral. Lineage: Bacteria; Pseudomonadati; Pseudomonadota; Alphaproteobacteria; Hyphomicrobiales; Methylobacteriaceae.